RNAcentral lists this ribosomal RNA (253 nucleotides) under uncultured bacterium. Its description in RNAcentral is "partial 16S ribosomal RNA". It matches the Rfam family "Bacterial small subunit ribosomal RNA", at positions 524 to 776 of the family's 1533-position model. The record is from RNAcentral.
GACGAACCGUCCAAACGUUAUUCGGAAUCACUGGGCUUAAAGGGUGCGUAGGCGGCGCGGAAAGUUGGGUGUGAAAUCCCUCGGCUUAACCGAGGAACGGCGCCCAAAACUACCGUGCUUGAGGGAGAUAGAGGUGAGCGGAACUUAGGGUGGAGCGGUGAAAUGCGUAGAGAUGUGGAGGAACACCGAUGGCGAAGGCAGCCCCCUGGGUCAAAACUGACGCUCAUGCACGAAAGCGUGGGGAGCAAACAGG